GGGGAUGACCGGUUUUGACUGCAAGGUCAAUUGGAUUAUAAGCAUGUCGAGCUAAGAUGCUCUACUCGUAAAAUGGGUAUCAAAAAUUAAACGGCGAGAAUAACUACGCUUUAGCUGCUUAAUCUGAAUAAAGUAAGAUUAACCUAGUUCCGACCAGGUCGGGAAGCUAAAUGUCUCUUGAAAGCGAUGACUAACCGCGUUCAAUAAAGGGGCAUCGUAAAAGUUGGUAUAGGAAUUAAGAAGUCUUGGCUUUUUUCUGAAAAAUAAGAGACUAGGUUAACGGUGGGUUGUUUUUGGUCAGCCGUU
Molecule: transfer-messenger RNA, 306 nt
Filed under: Flavobacteriaceae bacterium
Lineage: Bacteria; Pseudomonadati; Bacteroidota; Flavobacteriia; Flavobacteriales; Flavobacteriaceae
Description: partial transfer-messenger RNA
Rfam family: transfer-messenger RNA
About the family: Bacterial tmRNA, also known as 10Sa RNA or SsrA, is named for its dual tRNA and mRNA-like properties. Its role is to liberate the mRNA from a stalled ribosome. To accomplish this part of the tmRNA is used as a reading frame that ends in a translation stop signal.
Source: RNAcentral